RNAcentral lists this ribosomal RNA (376 nucleotides) under uncultured organism. Its description in RNAcentral is "partial 16S ribosomal RNA". It matches the Rfam family "Bacterial small subunit ribosomal RNA", at positions 527 to 897 of the family's 1533-position model. The record is from RNAcentral.
GUAGGUGGCAAGCGUUGUCCGGGAAUUAUUGGGGCGUAAAGCGCGCGCAGGCGGCUCUUUAAGUCUGAUGUGAAAGCCCACGGGCUCAACCGUGGAGGGUCAUUGGAAACUGGAGAACUUGAGUACAGAAGAGGAAAGCGGAAUUCCACGUGUAGCGGUGAAAUGCGUAGAGAUGUGGAGGAACACCAGUGGCGAAGGCGGCUUUCUGGUCUGUAACUGACGCUGAGGCGCGAAAGCGUGGGGAGCAAACAGGAUUAGAUACCCUGGUAGUCCACGCCGUAAACGAUAAGUGCUAAGUGUUAGGGGGUUUCCGCCCCUUAGUGCUGCAGCUAACGCAUUAAGCACUCCGCCUGGGGAGUACGGCCGCAAAGGCUGA